RNAcentral lists this ribosomal RNA (432 nucleotides) under uncultured bacterium. RNAcentral's name for it is "bacterial SSU rRNA". It matches the Rfam family "Bacterial small subunit ribosomal RNA", at positions 338 to 787 of the family's 1533-position model. The record is from RNAcentral.
CCUACGGGUGGCAGCAGUGGGGAAUAUUGGACAAUGGGCGCAAGCCUGAUCCAGCCAUGCCGCGUGAGUGAUGAAGGCCUUAGGGUUGUAAAGCUCUUUCAACGGUGAAGAUAAUGACGGUAACCGUAGAAGAAGCCCCGGCUAACUUCGUGCCAGCAGCCGCGGUAAUACGAAGGGGGCUAGCGUUGUUCGGAAUUACUGGGCGUAAAGCGCACGUAGGCGGAUUGAUCAGUCAGGGGUGAAAUCCCAGAGCUCAACUCUGGAACUGCCUUUGAUACUGUCAAUCUAGAGUCCAGAAGAGGUGAGUGGAAUUCCGAGUGUAGAGGUGAAAUUCGUAGAUAUUCGGAGGAACACCAGUGGCGAAGGCGGCUCACUGGUCUGGUACUGACGCUGAGGUGCGAAAGCGUGGGGAGCAAACAGGAUUAGAUACCC